AUGAACGCUGGCGGCGUGCCUAAUCCAUGCAAGUCGAGCGCACAGACGAGGAGCUUGCUCCUCUGACGUUAGCGGCGGACGGGUGAGUAACACGUGGAUAACCUACCUAUAAGACUGGGAUAACUUCGGGAAACCGGAGCUAAUACCGGAUAAUAUAUUGAACCGCAUGGUUCAAUAGUGAAAGACGGUUUUGCUGUCACUUAUAGAUGGAUCCGCGCCGCAUUAGCUAGUUGGUAAGGUAACGGCUUACCAAGGCAACGAUGCGUAGCCGACCUGAGAGGGUGAUCGGCCACACUGGAACUGAGACCCGGUCCAUACUCCUACGGAAGGCAGCAGUAGGGAAUCUUCCGCAAUGGGCGAAAGCCUGACGGAGCAACGCCGCGUGAGUGAUGAAGGUCUUCGGAUCGUAAAACUCUGUUAUUAGGGAAGAACAAAUGUGUAAGUACCUAUGCACGUCUUGACGGUACCUAAUCAGAAAGCCACGGCUAACUACGUG
RNAcentral lists this ribosomal RNA (496 nucleotides) under uncultured bacterium. Its description in RNAcentral is "partial 16S ribosomal RNA". It matches the Rfam family "Bacterial small subunit ribosomal RNA", at positions 29 to 507 of the family's 1533-position model. The record is from RNAcentral.